Molecule: RNA transcript, 1023 nt
Organism: Rhinopithecus roxellana (golden snub-nosed monkey)
Lineage: Eukaryota; Metazoa; Chordata; Mammalia; Primates; Cercopithecidae
Exons: 2
Source: RefSeq, a predicted model, not a curated record
CUUAACUCCUAGACCAGUUUUUAGUCCAUUGACUAUGCAGCCUAAUGUGAUAGACUGGAAUGAUGUUAGAAAACACAAAUAUGGUCACCUAUCAGAGUCUGCAUCCCAAUAUCAAGAAACUGCUGACAUCCUGGAGCUAGGUCAUUUUACCUGGGACAAAUACCUAAAAGAAACAUGUUCAGUCCCAGCGCCUGUCCAUUGCUUCAAGCAGUCCUACACACCUCCAAGCAACGAAUUCAAGAUCAGUAUGAAAUUGGAAGCACAGGACCCUAGGAACACCACAUCCACCUGUAUUGCCACAGUAGUUGGACUGACAGGUGCCCGCCUUCGCCUGCGCCUUGAUGGGAGUGACAACAAAAAUGACUUCUGGCGGCUGGUUGACUCAGCUGAAAUUCAGCCUGUUGGGAACUGUGAAAAGAAUGGGGGUAUGCUACAGCCACCUCUUGGAUUUCGGCUGAAUGCAUCUUCAUGGCCCAUGUUCCUUUUGAAGACGUUAAAUGGAGCAGAGAUGGCUCCCAUCAGGAUUUUCCACAAGGAGCCACCAUCGCCUUCCCACAACUUCUUCAAAAUGGGAAUGAAGCUAGAAGCUGUGGACAGGAAGAACCCUCAUUUCAUUUGCCCAGCCACUAUUGGGGAGGUUCGGGGCUCAGAGGUGCUUGUCACUUUUGAUGGGUGGCGAGGGGCCUUUGACUACUGGUGCCGCUUCGACUCCCGGGACAUCUUCCCUGUGGGCUGGUGUUCCUUGACUGGAGACAACCUACAGCCUCCUGGCACCAAAGGGAAAGGCAAAUCAAAGCCACAGUGAAAUACCACUUCACACCCAUGGAUACAGCUAUAAGCAAAAGACGGAUAAUAACAAAUGUUGCUGAGGAUGUGGAAAAACUGGAACCCUCUAACAUUACUGUAGCAAAUUGCUUCAGGAGCUGAGACAGGAGGGAGCUUGGUGUCUUGGCCUUCUUUGUGCUUCUCUGAGCUAUGAGGCCGAGAAGAUCUUCAAGUGGAUUUUUAGCAAAUUUAGCUCAU